RNAcentral lists this microRNA (21 nucleotides) under Rosa chinensis. RNAcentral describes it as "sRNA RchiOBHm_Chr5g0034495". The record is from RNAcentral. Lineage: Eukaryota; Viridiplantae; Streptophyta; Magnoliopsida; Rosales; Rosaceae.
UUAAUGAUCACCAAAUUGGCU